Non-coding RNA from Paramuricea clavata, 370 nucleotides. The record is from the annotation of a GenBank genome assembly. Lineage: Eukaryota; Metazoa; Cnidaria; Anthozoa; Malacalcyonacea; Plexauridae.
UGUGCAUUUCAUUUAGGACAGAUAAUCUCAACUGUUUUGGGGCAAGUUGACCAUGACGGUCAACAUGGUAAUGCUGCCCGAACCCCAAUCCGGGACGAAACGUCCGAAACUGACCAUACUGCUAUCUACCAAACCAUAAAAGCUUUGGCUAUUCUGAGGUGCUUAUAUGGUUCAGAGAUGGUACUUUUGGGGGUGGUCAUUGGUACGUGUGAAAUGCCUAGCACUAAUAUUUCACAAGAAAAUGACCAUGCAAUAAUCAUAGUUAAACGUCAAUUUGUGGCUUGCAACUUCAGAUAAACAGCAGUGGACUUACAUUACCUUUUUCCCUAAAUCUUUUUGAUAGAAACAUAAUUGGUACUUAUUUAAAUAU